AGUCCCGUAGUCUAGUGGCCAAGGAUGCGAGGCUCUGAACCUUGCGACGGCGGUUCGAAUCCGCCCGGGACUA
This 73-nucleotide transfer RNA is filed under the name Microcaldota archaeon. RNAcentral describes it as "tRNA-Gln". It matches the Rfam family "tRNA". Rfam says of the family: Transfer RNA (tRNA) molecules are approximately 80 nucleotides in length. The record is from RNAcentral. Lineage: Archaea; Nanobdellati; Microcaldota.